UUAGGAGGUUCGAUUCCUUCCUUUUUUGUUCGGGUUUUAUAUAGACGGGUUCUUCAAAUGUGUGGUAGGGUGGGGGGCAUCCGUACAAUCACUCUAGGCUUGUGGAGGGUUGUUCAACUAUUGGGACUUUUCGUUUUGAGGCGAAGGCUUCUCAAAUUAUGAAAAUUAUUAGUAUAACUGCUGUUAGGGAGAUAAAUGAGCCUGUGGAUGAUAAAAUAUUUCAGGUGGUGUAUGCGUCGGGGUAGUCGGAGUAGCGUCGGGGUAUACCUGACAGGCCGAGGAAAUGCUGUGGGAAGAAAGUUAAAUUUACGCCGACAAAUAUGGUGAUGAAGUGAAUUUUAGCAUAGGUCUGGUCUAAGGUGUAGCCUGAGAAUAGUGGGAACCAGUGGAUGAAGCCUCCCAUGAUGGCGAAUACAGCUCCUAUUGAUAGGACGUAAUGAAAGUGGGCUACAACGUAGUAUGUAUCGUGUAGUACAAUGUCUAGUGAUGAGUUUGCUAGUACGAUGCCUGUUAGGCCGCCUACGGUGAAGAGGAAAAUAAAUCCUAAGGCUCAGAGGAUUGCGGCAGAUCAUUUAGUGUUGCUUCCGUGGAGUGUAGCGAGUCAGCUAAAUACUUUGACGCCGGUGGGGAUGGCAAUGAUUAUGGUAGCGGAGGGAAAGGAGAAGUAGGACUGCUGUGAUUAAGACUGAUCAGACGAAGAGGGGGGUUUGGUAUUGGGAUAUUGCAGGGGGUUUUAUAUUAAUAAUUGUUGUGAUGAAAUUGAUAGCUCCUAGGAUAGAGGAAAUGCCUGCUAGGUGUAAAGAGAAGAUUGUUAAGUCUACAGAGGCUCCUGGGUGAGAGUAGUUUCCUGCUAGGGGCGGAUAGACUGUUCAGCCCGUUCCUGCGCCAGCCUCUACUGUAGCAGAAGCGAGCAGUAGGAGAAAGGAGGGGGGGAGGAGUCAGAAGCUUAUAUUAUUUAUGCGCGGGAAUGCUAUGUCGGGGGCGCCAAUUAUUAGGGGCACUAGUCAGUUGCCAAAGCCUCCAAUUAUAAUGGGUAUGACUAUAAAAAAAAUUAUUACGAAUGCAUGAGCUGUGACGAUGACAUUGUAGAUAUGGUCAUUGCCUAGAAGGUUGCCGGGCUGGCCUAGUUCAGCUCGAAUGAGGAGGCUUAGGGCAGUGCCUAGGACUCCAGCUCAUGCGCCGAAUAACAGGUAUAGUGUUCCGAUGUCUUUGUGGUUUGUGGAGAAUAGCCAGCGGUUGGCGAACAUU
Molecule: long non-coding RNA, 1248 nt
Filed under: Pongo abelii (Sumatran orangutan)
Lineage: Eukaryota; Metazoa; Chordata; Mammalia; Primates; Hominidae
Description: lncRNA (ENSPPYG00000037823.1)
Source: RNAcentral